Molecule: ribosomal RNA, 418 nt
Filed under: uncultured bacterium
Lineage: Bacteria
Description: partial 16S ribosomal RNA
Rfam family: Bacterial small subunit ribosomal RNA
Source: RNAcentral
AAUAUUGGUUAAUGGAGGCAACUCUGAACCAGCCACGUCGCGUGAAGGCAGACGGCCCUACGGGCNGUAAACUUCUUUUGUAAGGGNAUAAAGUGCAGCACGUGUACUGUGUUGCAUGUACCUUACGAAUAAGGAGCGGCUAACUCCGUGCCAUCAGCCGCGGUAAUACGGAGGAUCCAAGCGUUAUCCGGAUUUAUUGGGUUUAAAGGGUGCGCAGGCGAAGAUUAAGUCGGCGGUGAAAUUUUGCAGCUCAACUGUAAAAGUGCCUUCGAAACUGGUUUUCUUGAGUGUGGAUGCGGUAGGCGGAAUUUGUGGUGUGGCGGUGAAAUGCAUAGAUAUCACGAGGAACGCCGAUUGCGAAGGCAGCUUACUAAGCCAUAACUGACGCUCAUGCACGAAGGCGUGGGGAUCAAACAGG